This 254-nucleotide ribosomal RNA is filed under the name uncultured bacterium. RNAcentral describes it as "partial 16S ribosomal RNA". It matches the Rfam family "Bacterial small subunit ribosomal RNA", at positions 524 to 776 of the family's 1533-position model. The record is from RNAcentral.
UACGGGGGGAGCAAGCGUUGUUCGGAUUUACUGGGCGUAAAGGGCGCGUAGGCGGUCAGCACAAGUCAGUUGUGAAAUCUCCGAGCUUAACUCGGAAAGGUCAACUGAUACUGUGCGACUAGAGUGCAGAAGGGGCAACUGGAAUUCUUGGUGUAGCGGUGAAAUGCGUAGAAAUCAAGAGGAACACCUGCGGCGAAGGCGGGUUGCUGGGCUGACACUGACGCUGAAGCGCGAAAGCCAGGGGAGCGAACGGG